AGGACGAACGCUGGCGGCGUGCUUAACACAUGCAAGUCGAGCGGAAAGGCUCCUUUCGGGGGGUACUCGAGCGGCGAACGGGUGAGUAACACGUGAGUAACCUGCCCUGGACUUUGGGAUAACCCUCGGAAACGGGGGCUAAUACCGGAUAUGACACGCGGAUGCAUGUUUGUGUGUGGAAAGAUUUUUUGGUCUGGGAUGGGCUCGCGGCCUAUCAGCUUGUUGGUGGGGUGAUGGCCUACCAAGGCGACGACGGGUA
This 259-nucleotide ribosomal RNA is filed under the name uncultured bacterium. Its description in RNAcentral is "partial small subunit ribosomal RNA". It matches the Rfam family "Bacterial small subunit ribosomal RNA", at positions 26 to 285 of the family's 1533-position model. The record is from RNAcentral.